UCGUACAAUCGAGGUGCCGGAGUUGUCGCUGUCCUCUAAAGGGGUCGUGCACGCCUCGGUGCUCUCACAAAUAAUCCAUCUCACCCCUUUUGUGCAUUACCGCGUGGGGACCCCUUUUGGCUAGUUCCGAGGGGGGUUUUCACGUUUUUACAAAAACACCCUUUUAAUGCAAUGUGUAGAAUGUCUUUACUUUUUGCGAUCAUACGCAAUCAAUA
Molecule: unclassified non-coding RNA, 215 nt
Filed under: uncultured Russulaceae
Lineage: Eukaryota; Fungi; Basidiomycota; Agaricomycetes; Russulales; Russulaceae
Description: sequence contains ITS1
Source: RNAcentral